RNAcentral lists this ribosomal RNA (331 nucleotides) under uncultured eukaryote. RNAcentral describes it as "partial 18S ribosomal RNA". It matches the Rfam family "Eukaryotic small subunit ribosomal RNA", at positions 1470 to 1796 of the family's 1831-position model. The record is from RNAcentral.
CCCUUAGAUGUUCUGGGCCGCACGCGCGCUACACUGAUGCAUUCAACGAGUUUUUCCUGGUCCGAGAGGAAUGGGUAACCUUUUGAAAGUGCAUCGUGCUAGGGAUAGACUAUUGCAAUUAUUGGUCUUCAACGAGGAAUUCCUAGUAGACGUAGUUCAUCAGACUGCAUCGAUUACGUCCCUGCCCUUUGUACACACCGCCCGUCGCUACUACCGAUUGAAUGGUUUAGUGAGAUCCUUGGAUCGGCCCUGUCGCGGCUGGCAACGGCCGCGUCGGCGCGUCGAGAAGACGAUCAAACUUGAUCAUUUAGAGGAAGUAAAAGUCGUAACA